UGCGCAGGCGGCUGUGCAAGACAGAUGUGAAAUCCCCGGGCUUAACCUGGGAACUGCAUUUGUGACUGCACGGCUAGAGUUUGUCAGAGGAGGGUGGAAUUCCGCGUGUAGCAGUGAAAUGCGUAGAUAUGCGGAAGAACACCAAUGGCGAAGGCAGCCCUCUGGGACAUGACUGAGCUCAUGCACGAAAGCGGUGGGGAGCAAACA
RNAcentral lists this ribosomal RNA (207 nucleotides) under uncultured bacterium. RNAcentral's name for it is "partial 16S ribosomal RNA". It matches the Rfam family "Bacterial small subunit ribosomal RNA", at positions 568 to 774 of the family's 1533-position model. The record is from RNAcentral.